GAUGAACGCUGGCGGUGUGCCUAAUACAUGCAAGUCGAGCGAACAGACGAGGAGAUUGCUCUUCUGACGUUAGCGGCGGACGGGUGAGUAACACGUGGAUCACCUACCUAUAAGACUGGGAUAAUUUCGGGAAACCGGAGCUAAUACCGGCUCAUAUAUUCUACCGCAUGGUUCAAUAGUUCAAGACGGCUUUGGCGUUACUUUUAGCUGGUUUCGCGCCGGAUUAGCUAGUUGGUAAGGUAACGGCUUACCAAGGCAACGAUGCGUAGCUGACCUGAGAGGGUGAUCAGCCACACUGGAACUGAGACACGGUCCAGACUCCUACGGGAGGCAGCAGUAGGGAAUCUUCCACAAUGGGCGAAAGCCUGACGGAGCAACACCGCGUGAGUGAAGAAGGUCUUCGGAUCGUAAAGCUCUGUUAUUGGGGAAGAACAAAUGUAUAUGUAACUAUGGACGUCUUGACGGUACCUAAUCAGAAAGCCACGGCUAACUACGUG
RNAcentral lists this ribosomal RNA (497 nucleotides) under uncultured bacterium. RNAcentral's name for it is "partial 16S ribosomal RNA". It matches the Rfam family "Bacterial small subunit ribosomal RNA", at positions 28 to 507 of the family's 1533-position model. The record is from RNAcentral.